ACCCAACUGCUAUCGGGAUGAGACUAAGCCAUGCGAGUCGAGCGUCCUCUAGCUACGGUGAGGGCGCGGCGUACGGCUCAGUAACACGUGGCUAACUUGCCCUCAAGACGGGAACAACCUCGGGAAACUGAGGCUAAUAUCCGAUAGGUGGGGAGACCUGGAACGGUCCCUCACUGAAUAGGAGCUAGUAGCAUGCUUGCUAGUUUUGCUUGAGGAUAGGGCCGCGACCGAUCAGGUCGCUGGUGAGGUAAUGGCUCACCAGGCCUAUAACCGGUACGGGCCGUGAGAGCGGGAGCCCGGAGAUGGGCACUGAGAUAAGGGCCCAGGCCCUACGGGGCGCAGCAGGCGCGGAAACUCCGCAAUGCGCGAAAGCGUGACGGGGUCAUCCCGAGUGCCGUCCGCUGAGGAUGGCUUUUGCCUGGUAUAACUAGCCGGGUGAAUAAGGGGAGGGCAAGUCUGGUGUCAGCCGCCGCGGUAAUACCAGCUCCCCGAGUGGUUGGGACGAUUAUUGGGUCUGAAGCGUCCGUAGCCGGCCGGAAAAGUUCCCCGUUAAAUCCGACGAUCCAAUUGUCGGGCUGCGGGGAAUACUCUUCGGCUUGGGGGCAAGGGAGGUCGGCGGUAGUCCCGGGGUAGGGGCGAAAUCCUAUAAUCCCGGGAGGACCACCAGUGGCGAAAGGCGGCCGACUAAAGCGCGCCCGACGGUGAGGGACGAAAGCUGGGGGGAGCGAACGGGAUUAGAUACCCCGGUAGUCCCAGCUGUAAACGAUGUAGCUAGGUGUUGGGACGGCCUACCCACCUGUCCCCAGAGCCGCAGAGGAAGCCAUUAAGCCUACCACCCUGGGGAAGUACGAGCCGCAAGGCUGCAA
Molecule: ribosomal RNA, 866 nt
Filed under: uncultured soil archaeon
Lineage: Archaea
Description: bacterial SSU rRNA
Rfam family: Archaeal small subunit ribosomal RNA
Source: RNAcentral